Molecule: small RNA, 107 nt
Filed under: Marmota monax (woodchuck)
Lineage: Eukaryota; Metazoa; Chordata; Mammalia; Rodentia; Sciuridae
Source: RNAcentral
GCUGGGUGUGAUGGUGUACGCCUGUAAUCCCAGAAACUUGGAAGGCUGAGGCAGGAGGAUUGUAAGUUUGAGGCUAGCCUCAGCAACUUAAUGAGACCCUGCCUCAA